RNAcentral lists this ribosomal RNA (468 nucleotides) under uncultured bacterium. RNAcentral describes it as "partial 16S ribosomal RNA". It matches the Rfam family "Bacterial small subunit ribosomal RNA", at positions 28 to 507 of the family's 1533-position model. The record is from RNAcentral.
GACGAACGCUGGCGGCGUGCUUAACACAUGCAAGUCGAACGGAAAGGCCCUGCUUUUGUGGGGUGCUCGAGGGGCGAAAGGGUGGGUAACACGUGAGUAACCUGGCCUUGACUUUGGGAUAACUUCAGGAAACUGGGGCUAAUACCGGAUAGGAGCUCCUGCUGCAUGGUGGGGGUUGGAGAGUUUCGGCGGUUGGGGAUGGACUCGCGGCUUAUCAGCUUGUUGGUGGGGUAGUGGCUUACCAAGGCUUUGACGGGUAGCCGGCCUGAGAGGGUGACCGGCCACAUUGGGACUGAGAUACGGCCCAGACUCCUACGGGAGGCAGCAGUGGGGAAUAUUGCACAAUGGGCGGAAGCCUGAUGCAGCAACGCCGCGUGCGGGAUGACGGCCUUCGGGUUGUAAACCGCUUUCGCCUGUGACGAAGCGUGAGUGACGGUAAUGGGUAAAGAAGCACCGGCUAACUACGUG